Molecule: ribosomal RNA, 436 nt
Filed under: uncultured Ascomycota
Lineage: Eukaryota; Fungi; Ascomycota
Description: SSU rRNA
Rfam family: Eukaryotic small subunit ribosomal RNA
Source: RNAcentral
UUCGAUGGUAGGAUAGAGGCCUACCAUGGUAUCAACGGGUAACGGGGAAUUAGGGUUCGACUCCGGAGAGGGAGCCUGAGAAACGGCUACCACAUCCAAGGAAGGCAGCAGGCGCGCAAAUUACCCAAUCCCGACACGGGGAGGUAGUGACAAUAAAUACUGAUACAGGGCUCUUUUGGGUCUUGUAAUUGGAAUGAGUACAAUUUAAAUCCCUUAACGAGGAACAAUUGGAGGGCAAGUCUGGUGCCAGCAGCCGCGGUAAUUCCAGCUCCAAUAGCGUAUAUUAAAGUUGUUGCAGUUAAAAAGCUCGUAGUUGAACCUUGGGCCUGGCUGGCCGGUCCGCCUCACCGCGUGUACUGGUCCGGCCGGGCCUUUCCUUCUGGGGAACCUCAUGCCCUUCACUGGGCGUGUUGGGGAUCCAGGACUUUUACUUUGA